This 331-nucleotide long non-coding RNA is filed under the name Gossypium barbadense (sea-island cotton). RNAcentral's name for it is "long non-coding RNA (GBAR_LNC023057)". Lineage: Eukaryota; Viridiplantae; Streptophyta; Magnoliopsida; Malvales; Malvaceae. The record is from RNAcentral.
GUCAAAAUGUGAAGACUAGUUGCUCAAAUAUUGCACCAUGUAGAGAACUAAGUUAAUAAUCAAUCUUUGGAGCAAAGGUUUUCAGUUCGAAUCUUUGGGUGCAACCCUUGAAGGUCCAGGAUUGUAGAUAAACUGUUUUGUCAUUAUGACCCCAGAUCGAAGUUCCCGCUGUUUUGUCAUUAUGACCCCAGAUCGAAGUUCCCGUUUUAGUGGCUGUCUUGAUCCUCAAGAAAGUCUCUACUGUGUAAACACUUACUGUAUACUAACUCUGCUGCUGGACUUUGCACUGAGCUCAAGGGAGUGACUGCGAUACAACAGCUUCUUUAGCUAU